GCUUACGGCCAUACCUCUCUUGCUCCGGCCUGAUCUCGUCUGAUCUCAGAAAGCUAAGCAGAGUAGAGCCUGGUUAGUACUUAGAUGGAAGACCGCCUGGGAAUCCCAGGUGCCGUAAGCU
Ribosomal RNA from Gasterosteus aculeatus aculeatus (three-spined stickleback), 121 nucleotides. The record is from Ensembl. Lineage: Eukaryota; Metazoa; Chordata; Actinopteri; Perciformes; Gasterosteidae.